GACGAACGCUGGCGGCGCGCCUAACACAUGCAAGUCGAACGAGCGAGAGAGAGCUUGCUUUCUCGAGCGAGUGGCGAACGGGUGAGUAACGCGUGAGGAACCUGCCUCAAAGAGGGGGACAACAGUUGGAAACGACUGCUAAUACCGCAUAAGCCCACGGCUCGGCAUCGAGCAGGGGGAAAAGGAGCAAUCCGCUUUGAGAUGGCCUCGCGUCCGAUUAGCUAGUUGGUGAGGUAACGGCCCACCAAGGCGACGAUCGGUAGCCGGACUGAGAGGUUGAACGGCCACAUUGGGACUGAGACACGGCCCAGACUCCUACGGGAGGCAGCAGUGGGGAAUAUUGCACAAUGGGGGAAACCCUGAUGCAGCGACGCCGCGUGGAGGAAGAAGGUCUUCGGAUUGUAAACUCCUGUUGUUGGGGAAGAUAAUGACGGUACCCAACAAGGAAGUGACGGCUAACUACGUGCCAGCAGCCGCGGUAAAACGUAGGUCACAAGCGUUGUCCGGAAUUACUGGGUGUAAAGGGAGCGCAGGCGGGAAGACAAGUUGGAAGUGAAAUCUAUGGGCUCAACCCAUAAACUGCUUUCAAAACUGUUUUUCUUGAGUAGUGAAGAGGUAGGCGGAAUUCCCGGUGUAGCGGUGGAAUGCGUAGAUAUCGGGAGGAACACCAGUGGCGAAGGCGGCCUACUGGGCACCAACUGACGCUGAGGCUCGAAAGUGUGGGUAGCAAACAGGAUUAGAUACCCUGGUAGUCCACACCGUAA
Molecule: ribosomal RNA, 764 nt
Filed under: uncultured bacterium
Lineage: Bacteria
Description: bacterial SSU rRNA
Rfam family: Bacterial small subunit ribosomal RNA
Source: RNAcentral